RNAcentral lists this transfer RNA (77 nucleotides) under Pseudopedobacter sp. RNAcentral's name for it is "tRNA-His". It matches the Rfam family "tRNA". Rfam says of the family: Transfer RNA (tRNA) molecules are approximately 80 nucleotides in length. Lineage: Bacteria; Pseudomonadati; Bacteroidota; Sphingobacteriia; Sphingobacteriales; Sphingobacteriaceae. The record is from RNAcentral.
GUAGGAUUAGCUCACUCGGUUAGAGCGCCGGUUUGUGGAACCGGAGGUAAUGGGUUCAAAUCCCAUAUUCUACCCCA